Molecule: ribosomal RNA, 255 nt
Filed under: uncultured bacterium
Lineage: Bacteria
Description: partial 16S ribosomal RNA
Rfam family: Bacterial small subunit ribosomal RNA
Source: RNAcentral
UACGUGGGGGGGCGAGCGUUGUCCGGAAUCAUUGGGCGUAAAGCGCGUGUAGGCGGCCCGGUAAGUCCGCUGUGAAAGUCCAGGGCUCAACCCUGGGAUGCCGGUGGAUACUGUCGGGCUCGAGUCCGGAAGAGGCGAGUGGAAUUCCUGGUGUAGCGGUGAAAUGCGCAGAUAUCAGGAGGAACACCAAUGGCGAAGGCAGCUCGCUGGGACGUGACUGACGCUGAGACGCGAAAGCGUGGGGGAGCAAACAGG